AGAGUUUGAUCCUGGCUCAGGAUUAACGCUAGCGGCAGGCAUAAUACAUGCAAGUUGAACGGGAUAAGUUGUAGCAAUACGACUUUGAGAGUGGCGCACGGGUGCGUGACACGUAUGCAAUCUGCCCCUAUCUGUGGAAUAGCCCCUCGAAAGAGGGAUUAAUACCACAUAAUAUAGUGAGUAGGCAUCUACUUACUAUCAAAGCUCCGGCGGAUAGGGAUGAGCAUGCGGCUGAUUAGCUAGUUGGUGAGGUAAUGGCUCACCAAGGCUACGAUCAGUAGGGGGUCUGAGAGGAUGUCCCCCCACACUGGUACUGAGACACGGACCAGACUCCUACGGGAGGCAGCAGUAGGGAAUAUUGGUCAAUGGGGGCAACCCUGAACCAGCCAUGCCGCGUGCAGGAUUAAGGCCCUAUGGGUCGUAAACUGCUUUUGUACGGGAAGAAAUCACAUUACGUGUAAUGUGUGACGGUACCG
Molecule: ribosomal RNA, 476 nt
Filed under: uncultured bacterium
Lineage: Bacteria
Description: bacterial SSU rRNA
Rfam family: Bacterial small subunit ribosomal RNA
Source: RNAcentral